RNAcentral lists this long non-coding RNA (1258 nucleotides) under Physcomitrium patens. RNAcentral describes it as "long non-coding RNA (PPAT_LNC006129)". The record is from RNAcentral. Lineage: Eukaryota; Viridiplantae; Streptophyta; Bryopsida; Funariales; Funariaceae.
AAAAAAAAAAAUUGUUAGACAACGUCUCUAAGAUCGGCUCCCGGCAAACGCACCAUUUAUGUGAGCUAAAUUCCUCCACCCUUAAUUGCGUUUAGUAGUCAAGUGGAUUAACUUCACUCACAUGCAAUUUUUAUAAACCCUAAAUUCAUUCAUAAACCCUAAGUUCAUCCAUAAAUCCUAAGUUCAUCCAUAAACCCUAAGUUCAUCCAAAAACCCUAAGUUUAUCCAGAAACCCUAAGUUCAUCCAUAAACCCUAAGUUCAUCCAUAAACCCUAAGUUCAUUCAUCCUAAAUUUCCCUUCAUCAAUCAUCCAUCUUUUAAAUCUCAUUCAUUCAUUCAAAGUUUAUUCAUCCAAUUUUCAUCUAAAGAUUCAUUCAUCCAACCAUAAGUCAACUUAUCAUCCAACUGACAAUUCGUGCAAUUGACCUAAUUCAUCCAAGAUUCAUCCUAAAAAUUAAAGAAAAUUGGAAGUCGCCACCUUCUAAGUCAUGGUAGCAACCCCCUUGCACGAAUUCUACUACAAUGGUUGCAUCACUAACUUGUUUAUAACAAAAUUUGCUAUUUUAGAAAGUAGACUUACAAGCGCUUGUCCUCCAACAAAAUUCAAUGCAAAACAACAAUUAAGCUAAGAGAAAUCUUGCCUCAAAGUUGCCUGACUUUCUCGGCCUAGUCAGAGCACCUCUGGCCACACAAACCCUUGCCCUUGCUCCAUUCCAGUUGUGCAAUGCAUAUGCUUUAGCAUUCCAAAAACUAGAAUUGAAUCCGCAUCACCUUCAACAAUUUUUUCUUGAAAAUCUUGAGUGAAUUCCAAGAUAUGAUCUUCCAAAGUAGCUUGAGUUGGCGGAGUGCUACAGCUUCACCACGGCCGACUCCUCUUCACUCCAACCACCAUAACUUCCUUGGCCUUUACUCAAUCUAAGCGUGCAAAUAGUCCUUGCAAAGCUGACAACAAGAACCAUCUCCCACAAAAGUUUCAGCUCCAAAUUCAAUACUGUCCGCCAACACUCGCCUUCCAAAGUCGGACCUCCAGAUCUGGCCGGCAGCUGACCUCCUUGUCACUAAAACCACCACAACUUUCUUGUUUUCUCUCCAAACAAAGCGUGCCUACUGUCCCGAGGAAGCUAACAACAAGAUCUAACUAUUGGUAAAGUUUGACGUUCUAUUUCCAGAUAACUAAUAUACUACAGCUGCGCAAUUGCAGCUCUAUAGAAACAAGGGUACGUGGGGAUGCAAUUUGGCAUGGCUUCGCCCCCCCCCC